Molecule: non-coding RNA, 277 nt
Filed under: Staphylococcus aureus
Lineage: Bacteria; Bacillati; Bacillota; Bacilli; Caryophanales; Staphylococcaceae
Rfam family: S. aureus tsr24 small RNA
Source: RNAcentral
AAAUUUUUCUAUGACUAUAGAUUUUUUUCGUUUCUGGUUCAGAAAGCUUUUGAUUAAUUUGGGCUUUAAUGUAUUUCAAAGUAAAAUUACAUGUUAAUACGUAGUAUUAAUGGCGAGACUCCUGAAGGAGCAGUGCCAGUCGAAGACCGAGGCUGAGACGGCACCCUAGGAAGGGACCCAUCAUCAAAAAUUCUAUUUAUAGAAUUUUACAGUAAUGUGCCAGAUGGGCAUAGCGAAGCCAUUCAAUACGAAGUAUUGUAUAAAUAGAGAACAGCAG